UGAGCCAAGUUUAGGGUUUUCUCAAAACCCAAGCAGUAUUGAACUGAAGAGUUUGAUCAUGGCUCAGAUUGAACGCUGGCGGCAGGCCUAACACAUGCAAGUCGAGCGGAUGAAGGGAGCUUGCUC
This 126-nucleotide ribosomal RNA is filed under the name Pseudomonas aeruginosa. RNAcentral's name for it is "partial 16S ribosomal RNA". The stretch from base 41 to 126 matches the Rfam family "Bacterial small subunit ribosomal RNA", at positions 1 to 85 of the family's 1533-position model. The record is from RNAcentral. Lineage: Bacteria; Pseudomonadati; Pseudomonadota; Gammaproteobacteria; Pseudomonadales; Pseudomonadaceae.